CAAACCACAACAGAACGAUAAAACAAUAACUCCUCAACAAUGUCCAAAAACAAAAACUCAUAGCUUCAAUGAAAUUGCUGCGAUCAGCACAACACCGAAGGAUACUGUUGCAAUGGAUGCACCUGAACUAUCAACAGAUGCAUCUUCCUUGGACCCUGCAGGAGCUUUUGCUGGAACAUCUUUCUCGGGCUUUGAAGGUGCAGGAGCUGGUGCUGGUGCUGUACCAAAAAGAUCCAACGGCAGAAGGACCUGAUCCACCUGAUACACAACUAACUGGCCAUCGGUGUAUAUAGUGUUUGCCACGGUUGCAGUAUUAACCCCUGUUGUUAUGUUCACUUGAUUCCCCGAUGUUGUCACAUUGAGCGGGAACUCGCCAUCAGCACUAUUUCCGGCUUGA
This 397-nucleotide long non-coding RNA is filed under the name Populus trichocarpa (black cottonwood). Its description in RNAcentral is "long non-coding RNA (PTRI_LNC003662)". The record is from RNAcentral. Lineage: Eukaryota; Viridiplantae; Streptophyta; Magnoliopsida; Malpighiales; Salicaceae.